RNAcentral lists this ribosomal RNA (679 nucleotides) under Salmonella enterica subsp. enterica serovar Bareilly. RNAcentral's name for it is "partial 23S ribosomal RNA". It matches the Rfam family "Bacterial large subunit ribosomal RNA", at positions 381 to 1063 of the family's 2925-position model. Lineage: Bacteria; Pseudomonadati; Pseudomonadota; Gammaproteobacteria; Enterobacterales; Enterobacteriaceae. The record is from RNAcentral.
AAAAGCGCAUAUGCUGUGAGCUCGAUGAGUAGGGCGGGACACGUGGUAUCCUGUCUGAAUAUGGGGGGACCAUCCUCCAAGGCUAAAUACUCCUGACUGACCGAUAGUGAACCAGUACCGUGAGGGAAAGGCGAAAAGAACCCCGGCGAGGGGAGUGAAAAAGAACCUGAAACCGUGUACGUACAAGCAGUGGGAGCACCCUUUUGGGUGUGACUGCGUACCUUUUGUAUAAUGGGUCAGCGACUUAUAUUCUGUAGCAAGGUUAACCGAAUAGGGGAGCCGGAGGGAAACCGAGUCUUAAUUGGGCGUUAAGUUGCAGGGUAUAGACCCGAAACCCGGUGAUCUAGCCAUGGGCAGGUUGAAGGUUGGGUAACACUAACUGGAGGACCGAACCGACUAAUGUUGAAAAAUUAGCGGAUGACCUGUGGCUGGGGGUGAAAGGCCAAUCAAACCGGGAGAUAGCUGGUUCUCCCCGAAAGCUAUUUAGGUAGCGCCUCGUGAAUUCAUCUCCGGGGGUAGAGCACUGUUUCGGCUAGGGGGCCAUCCCGGCUUACCAACCCGAUGCAAACUGCGAAUACCGGAGAAUGUUAUCACGGGAGACACACGGCGGGUGCUAACGUCCGUCGUGAAGAGGGAAACAACCCAGACCGCCAGCUAAGGUCCCAAAGUCAUGGUUAAG